Molecule: ribosomal RNA, 253 nt
Filed under: uncultured bacterium
Lineage: Bacteria
Description: partial 16S ribosomal RNA
Rfam family: Bacterial small subunit ribosomal RNA
Source: RNAcentral
UACGUAGGGUGCAAGCGUUGUCCGGAUUUAUUGGGUUUAAAGGGUGCGUAGGCGGCCCUGUAAGUCAGUGGUGAAAUACUCCAGCUUAACAGGAGGGGUGCCAUUGAUACUGCAGGGCUUGAGUUAAGUUGAAGUUGGCGGAAUUGACGGUGUAGCGGUGAAAUGCUUAGAUAUCGUCAAGAACACCGAUAGUGAAGACAGCUAACUAAACUUUUACUGACGCUGAGGCACGAAAGUGUGGGGAUCAAACAGG